UCUCCUACGGGAGGCAGCAGUGAGGAAUAUUGGUCAAUGGGCGAGAGCCUGAACCAGCCAAGUCGCGUGAGGGAAGACGGUCCUAUGGAUUGUAAACCUCUUUUGUCGGGGAGCAAAAAGGCCUCGUGAGGCCACAAGUGAGAGUACCCGAAGAAAAAGCAUCGGCUAACUCCGUGCCAGCAGCCGCGGUAAUACGGAGGAUGCGAGCGUUAUCCGGAUUUAUUGGGUUUAAAGGGUGCGUAGGCGGAUUUUUAAGUCAGCGGUAAAAUGUCCGGGCUCAACCCGGGCCGGCCGUUGA
RNAcentral lists this ribosomal RNA (298 nucleotides) under uncultured bacterium. RNAcentral describes it as "partial 16S ribosomal RNA". It matches the Rfam family "Bacterial small subunit ribosomal RNA", at positions 335 to 630 of the family's 1533-position model. The record is from RNAcentral.